Long non-coding RNA from Stylophora pistillata, 758 nucleotides. The record is from RefSeq and is a predicted model, not a curated record. NCBI's taxonomy places the organism in Eukaryota, Metazoa, Cnidaria, Anthozoa, Scleractinia, Pocilloporidae.
AUUGCAACCUUGAGGGGGCUUGUAUAUUUACACAGUUCUGCAUUGAGAAGGAUAAUUUCUCCGAUUCUGUGUGAGGUUUUGUGCUUUUUUAAAAUCACUUUAAAUUUUGAACUUUUGGUAUUUCAACAUUGAAGUAUGUCGAGUGGAAAGACACCAUACCAAGGGAAUAGCCGUUGUUUUGGAGAAUAUAGAUGUCCUGAGUGUAACCGCGGGUGGAUGAGCGCCAACAGUUGGGCCAACUCUGGUCAGCAGUGUCAGAAUUGUAAUAUUUUGGUGUACCCGCACACGCAGCGUCCGCUGCAAAAACCUGAUGGGCUGGACAAGGGGGAUAGCUCUAAGCAGCACCCUCAGCACUUGUGUGAAAAAUGCAAGAGCCUCGGUCACUUUUGUGGGGAUCGUUACCGUUAUCGUUACCGUUAAAGUUAAUUCAGAACUGUCACCAGGGCAAGUUUGAUUUAUCAUAAUUUCUGGACGAGAUACAUGAACUGAUUUUCAAAUGACAAUAAUGUAAUUCUUCAUUCCGUUUCUUUUAAAUUUUAAAAGGCUUUAUUUAAACAAUGGGCAGUUGAGGAAAUAAAAGAUAGCUGAAGGCAAUAUAGCUAGUAUCCAUAAUAAGUGUGGCAAUUUAAAUCUUUUUUCAAAUGUUAAGAAGUACAGGGCUGUUCAUUGCAAAAUUUUCAAGAAUACUGCUCACCAUGUUCAAUAAAUAGUUUCAUAUUGUCGGUUUCAGUAAUGAAGAAGUUUUUCUGAAAGUUUUA